GUACACUCCUGCGGGAGGCAGCAGUGGGGAAUAUUGCACAAUGGGCGCAAGCCUGAUGCAGCCAUGCCGCGUGUAUGAAGAAGGCCUUCGGGUUGUAAAGUACUUUCAGCGGGGAGGAAGGCGAUAAGGUUAAUAACCUUGUUGAUUGACGUUACCCGCAGAAGAAGCACCGGCUAACUCCGUGCCAGCAGCCGCGGUAAUACGGAGGGUGCAAGCGUUAAUCGGAAUUACUGGGCGUAAAGCGCACGCAGGCGGUCUGUCAAGUCGGAUGUGAAAUCCCCGGGCUCAACCUGGGAACUGCAUUCGAAACUGGCAGGCUAGAGUCUCGUAGAGGGGGGUAGAAUUCCAGGUGUAGCGGUGAAAUGCGUAGAGAUCUGGAGGAAUACCGGUGGCGAAGGCGGCCCCCUGGACAAAGACUGACGCUCAGGUGCGAAAGCGUGGGGAGCAAACAGGAUUAGAUACCCCAGUAGUCCC
Molecule: ribosomal RNA, 474 nt
Filed under: uncultured organism
Description: partial 16S ribosomal RNA
Rfam family: Bacterial small subunit ribosomal RNA
Source: RNAcentral